Molecule: transfer RNA, 103 nt
Filed under: Terriglobia bacterium
Lineage: Bacteria; Pseudomonadati; Acidobacteriota; Terriglobia
Description: tRNA-OTHER
Source: RNAcentral
GGCUGGUUUUCAGAUCUAUGUCUUGUAGAAUCAACAGAUAGCCUUGGGAGAAGCCAGCUGAAAAGGCUGGCGUCGGCGGUUCAACUCCGUUCCCUGGCCACCA